This 513-nucleotide ribosomal RNA is filed under the name uncultured bacterium. Its description in RNAcentral is "partial 16S ribosomal RNA". It matches the Rfam family "Bacterial small subunit ribosomal RNA", at positions 28 to 523 of the family's 1533-position model. The record is from RNAcentral.
GACGAACGCUGGCGGCGUGCUUAACACAUGCAAGUCGAACGGUAAGGCCCUUCGGGGUACACGAGUGGCGCACGGGUGCGUAACACGUAGAUAACCUGCCCUGAAGAGGGGGAUAACGUUCCGAAAGGAGCGCUAAUACCGCAUAACGCUGAGACGGGUUCGCCUGUUUCGGACAACGGCUGGGACCAGCAAUGGCCAGUCGCUUUAGGGGGGGUCUGCGGCCCAUCAGCUAGUUGGUAAGGUAAUGGCUUACCAAGGCAAGACGGGUAGCUGGUCUGAGAGGAUGAUCAGCCACACUGGUACUGGAACACGGACCAGACUCCUACGGGAGGCAGCAGUGGGGAAUCUUGGUCAAUGGGCGCAAGCCUGAACCAGCGACGCCGCGUGAGUGAUGAAGGCCUUCGGGUUGUAAAGCUCUGUGGGGAGGGACGAAAGACUGAGGUCUAAUAGGCUUCAGGUUGACGGUACCUCCUUAGCAAGCACCGGCUAACUCUGUGCCAGCCGCCGCCGUAA